Vespula pensylvanica (western yellowjacket) is the source of this 808-nucleotide long non-coding RNA. RefSeq lists it as uncharacterized. The transcript has 3 exons. The record is from RefSeq and is a predicted model, not a curated record. Lineage: Eukaryota; Metazoa; Arthropoda; Insecta; Hymenoptera; Vespidae.
AGGAUCGAGGAAGAUCGAUCAUGGCCUCGGUCACUCGUCGCUGUUACGCAGUCGUGAGUUUAUGUCGAGCAUUUAGUGAGUCAAUGACAGCCGUUCGAGGCAUUCAUCGAGCGGAUUCGUGCGCGAUCUUUCCAUCUCUUUCCAACUUCUUCUCUCUCUUUCUAUCUCUAUCUAUCUAUCCCUCCUUCUUUUUCUUUCUUUGAACGAUCAUCGAGAACGAGAUGCUCGUGGUGUUCCGUGGUGAGUCAGUGAGAUCACGUGCCAACGUGCUAAAUAUAAUUGACACUACGAAAGCGAUCUAUGUACGUUCGAGGUAUCGAAGCGAAUAUGCGUUCGAUUUUUUUCUUCUCUCUCUUUCUCUUUCUCUCUCUUUUUUUUUUCUUUCUCGAUCCGAUCGAGCAUCGAAUCGACUCGUGUACGUAGUUCGUCAUAGUCAAUCAUUUUCUCGUUCUCGAAGAAUUUAUCUCGUCUGGAGUUUUAUUCAUACAUGUAAUAUAUAUUUACUUUGUGUCAUUAUGUAUAUGUGCAAUACAGAGUAAGUACCUUCGGGGAAAAAGAAAAAAAAAAAAGAAAUGAGAAGGCGCGAGGGAAAAGCUGUGUCGUUCGAGAUUGACUUUGCGUGGGUGCCUUAACAAAAGCAACCUCGAGUGACGUCCACGUGUAAUAUGACCCAUCGGGAAAAUGGCUAAUAUUUUCCAACUUGCUGAAUGUUUUAUCUCGAAAGAAUAUUUUAUUAAAAAAAUGACCCACAAAAAUGUGCAAGACAGAAAAAAGAGAGAGAGAGAGAGAGAGAGAGAGAGAGAGAGAG